Molecule: ribosomal RNA, 929 nt
Filed under: Lobaria retigera
Lineage: Eukaryota; Fungi; Ascomycota; Lecanoromycetes; Peltigerales; Lobariaceae
Description: LSU rRNA
Rfam family: Eukaryotic large subunit ribosomal RNA
Source: RNAcentral
GUUUGACCUCGGAUCAGGUAGGGAUACCCGCUGAACUUAAGCAUAUCAAUAAGCGGAGGAAAAGAAACCAACAGGGAUUGCCUCAGUAACGGCGAGUGAAGCGGCAACAGCUCAAAUUUGAAAUCUGACCCCUUCGGGGCCCGAGUUGUAAUUUGUAGAGGGUGUUUCGGGCGCGGCGCCGGUCUAAGUUCCUUGGAACAGGACGUCAUAGAGGGUGAGAAUCCCGUAUGCGACCGGCGAUCAAGCCCAUGUGAAGCCCUUCGACGAGUCGAGUUGUUUGGGAAUGCAGCUCAAAAUGGGUGGUAAAUUCCAUCUAAAGCUAAAUAUUGGCCGGAGACCGAUAGCGGACAAGUAGAGUGAUCGAAAGAUGAAAAGCACUUUGGAAAGAGAGUCAAACAGUACGUGAAAUUGUUGAAAGGGAAGCGCUUGCCACCAGACCGGUCCGGGGGUGAUCAGCCGCUGCUCGUCAGCUGGUGCACUCGCCCUCGAUUCCGGCCAGCAUCGGUUUGGGCGGCGGGAGAAAAGCUCCGGGAAUGUAGCUUCUUUCGGGGAGUCUUAUAGCCCGGGGCGCAAUGCCGCCCGCCCGGACCGAGGACCGCGCUUCGGCUAGGAUGCUGGCGUAAUGGUUGCAAGCGACCCGUCUUGAAACACGGACCAAGGAGUCUAACAUCUAUGCGAGUGUUUGGGUGUCAAACCCAGGCGCGGAAUGAAAGUGAACGGAGGUGGGAGCCCGUCGCACGGCGCACCAUCGACCGAUCCAGAUGUCUUCGGAUGGAUUUGAGUAUGAGCAUAGCUGUUGGGACCCGAAAGAUGGUGAACUAUGCCCGGAUAGGGUGAAGCCAGAGGAAACUCUGGUGGAGGCUCGCAGCGGUUCUGACGUGCAAAUCGAUCGUCAAAUCUAGGCAUAGGGGCGAAAGACCAAUCGAACC